GCGGGGGUGGCGGAAUGGCAGACGCGCACGUCUCAGAAGCGUGUGGGGCAACCCUUGAGGGUUCAACUCCCUCCUCCCGCACCA
RNAcentral lists this transfer RNA (84 nucleotides) under Candidatus Omnitrophota bacterium. Its description in RNAcentral is "tRNA-Leu". It matches the Rfam family "tRNA". Rfam says of the family: Transfer RNA (tRNA) molecules are approximately 80 nucleotides in length. Their secondary structure includes four short double-helical elements and three loops (D, anti-codon, and T loops). The record is from RNAcentral. Lineage: Bacteria; Pseudomonadati; Candidatus Omnitrophota.